AGGACGAACGCUGGCGGCGCGCUUAACACAUGCAAGUCGAGCGAGAACCGGUCCUUCGGGACCGGGGACAGCGGCGAACGGGUGAGUAACACGUGGGUAAUCUGCCCUCGAUUCUGGGAUAGCCCGGGGAAACCCGGAUUAAUACCGGGAUAGCCUCUCGAGCUUUCGGGCUCGUGAGAAAAGGUAGCUUCGGCCUCCGAUCGAGGAUGAGCCCGCGGCGGAUUAGCUUGUUGGUGAGGUAACGGCUCACCAAGGCGACGAAUCCGUAGCUGGUCUGAGAGGACGAUCAGCCACACUGGGACUGAGACACGGCCCAGACUCCUACGGGAGGCAGCAGUGGGGAAUCUUGCGCAAUGGGCGAAAGCCUGACGCAGCGACGCCGCGUGGGGAAGAAGGCCUUAGGGUUGUAAACCGUCUUUCAGUAGGACGUAAGCCACUCGGUUAAUAGACCCAGAGGUGACGGUACCUACAGAAGAAGCCCCGGACUAACACGUGACAGCCAGCCGCGGUAAUCGUGA
This 518-nucleotide ribosomal RNA is filed under the name uncultured soil bacterium. RNAcentral describes it as "bacterial SSU rRNA". It matches the Rfam family "Bacterial small subunit ribosomal RNA", at positions 26 to 530 of the family's 1533-position model. The record is from RNAcentral.